ACCUGGUUGAUCCUGCCAGUAGUCAUAUGCUUGUCUCAAAGAUUAAGCCAUGCAUGUCUAAGUAUAAGCAACUCGUACUUGUGAAACUGCGAAUGGCUCAUUAAAUCAGUUACAAUUUAUUUGAUGGUACCUUACUACUUGGAUAACCGUAGUAACAUAGAGCUAAUACAUGCCAAUAAGACCCGACUUUAGUGAAGGGUUGUAUUUAUUAGAUUACAAACCAAUAUCCCUCGGGAUUUCCUGGUGAUUCAUAAUAACUUUUCGGACCGCAUGCCUUCGGGCGGCGGCGCUUCAUUCAAAUUUCUGCCCUAUCAACUUUCGAUGGUAGUAUAGAGGACUACCAUGGUUAUAACGGGUAACGGAGAAUUAGGGUUUGAUUCCGGAG
This 385-nucleotide ribosomal RNA is filed under the name Symbiodinium sp. clade D. RNAcentral's name for it is "partial Eukaryotic small subunit ribosomal RNA". It matches the Rfam family "Eukaryotic small subunit ribosomal RNA", at positions 1 to 388 of the family's 1831-position model. The record is from RNAcentral. Lineage: Eukaryota; Dinophyceae; Suessiales; Symbiodiniaceae.